AUUGAACGCUGGCGGCAUGCUUUACACAUGCAAGUCGAACGGUAACAGGCCGCAAGGUGCUGACGAGUGGCGAACGGGUGAGUAAUGCAUCGGAACGUGCCCAGUCGUGGGGGAUAACUAUCUGAAAGUAUAGCUAAUACCGCAUACGAUCUUCGGAUGAAAGCGGGGGACCUUCGGGCCUCGCGCGAUUGGCGCGGCCGAUGUCAGAUUAGGUAGUUGGUGGGGUAAAGGCUCACCAAGCCAACGAUCUGUAGCUGGUCUGAGAGGACGACCAGCCACACUGGGACUGAGACACGGCCCAGACUCCUACGGGAGGCAGCAGUGGGGAAUUUUGGACAAUGAGCGCAAGCCUGAUCCAGCAAUGCCGCGUGCAGGAAGAAGGCCUUCGGGUUGUAAACUGCUUUUGUACGGAACGAAACGGCUCUGGUUAAUACCUGGGGCUAAUGACGGUAUCGUAAGAAUAAGCACCGGCUAACUACGUGCCAGCCGCCGCCGUAA
This 498-nucleotide ribosomal RNA is filed under the name uncultured bacterium. Its description in RNAcentral is "partial 16S ribosomal RNA". It matches the Rfam family "Bacterial small subunit ribosomal RNA", at positions 30 to 523 of the family's 1533-position model. The record is from RNAcentral.